RNAcentral lists this small nuclear RNA (20 nucleotides) under Arabidopsis thaliana (thale cress). RNAcentral's name for it is "snRNA_08973". Lineage: Eukaryota; Viridiplantae; Streptophyta; Magnoliopsida; Brassicales; Brassicaceae. The record is from RNAcentral.
CUUUUCCUGUUUUGUAUAUA